GGCUGGUUAGCUCAGUCAGUUGAGUGUGGCGCUAACAAUGCCAAGGAUGUGGGUUCGAUUCCCAUGUGGUCCG
This is a non-coding RNA of Apaloderma vittatum (bar-tailed trogon), 73 nucleotides long. Lineage: Eukaryota; Metazoa; Chordata; Aves; Trogoniformes; Trogonidae. The record is from Rfam.